Molecule: long non-coding RNA, 372 nt
Organism: Daphnia pulex (common water flea)
Lineage: Eukaryota; Metazoa; Arthropoda; Branchiopoda; Diplostraca; Daphniidae
Exons: 2
Source: RefSeq, a predicted model, not a curated record
AACCCCCAAAAAAUAAAUCUUAAAUGGUUUAACCGGUUAAGAACGGUUAAACGCACACCUCUGGUUUGAUAACUCUGCUUAUGAUAACUAUUAGCUAUUAGUUAAAAAAAGAGAAGAAGGCAAUAAUAGUAAGCUAAAACGGAAUCAGGACACCAUAAGUUUUUUUUUUUUUCUAUUAACAUUUAAAAACAGGUUGGUCCUAGUUAGAAAGUAGAAACUGCGGUAAAUUCCCGCGGGUUAAAUCAGGACAAGAGAAAUCAUACGUUUUAAACUGUAAGGAUAUAAUACUUUCACAGCUCUGGCAGAGUCAUCAAACAAGUUAGAUGACUCUGGCUCUGCUGGGGAAAGUUUUAACUAUUAACUUGGCAUCAG